This 29-nucleotide non-coding RNA is filed under the name Mus musculus (house mouse). The record is from RNAcentral. Lineage: Eukaryota; Metazoa; Chordata; Mammalia; Rodentia; Muridae.
UGAGAAUCAAGAGGAAUCACAGGGUGGGU